UAACCCAAAAAAAGGACCCCGUCAUCUAAUGCAAAGGCAAAUGGGGUAGGCAGGACAAUACUCUACACGAAGCAUUUCCAAUUUUUCAGGUGCCAAUAUGCUUGGAGGAACGUCACUUUACAGCCACCUGAAUAACAGGAGACUACUUCACCCUUCAGGCAUCUCAGCAGUUCCAAAUGAAAAGUCUCCAAUUGGCGCUUUUAUCAGUGAUACAACGCAACACCAACUGCAGCAGAUACGAGAAUACAUCUUUGCUUGAACAGUUGUGCAUUUGUACUCCCAAUGAAUAGUGUAAUUGCCAAAUCAAAUGGUUUGGAGCAAAAUAUCACCAUAGAAAUUCAAAAUAGCUCUUCAGAAUUGAACUUGUUCCAUGCUUCCUU
This 380-nucleotide unclassified non-coding RNA is filed under the name Hevea brasiliensis (rubber tree). The record is from RNAcentral. Lineage: Eukaryota; Viridiplantae; Streptophyta; Magnoliopsida; Malpighiales; Euphorbiaceae.